RNAcentral lists this ribosomal RNA (1342 nucleotides) under uncultured bacterium. RNAcentral describes it as "bacterial SSU rRNA". It matches the Rfam family "Bacterial small subunit ribosomal RNA", at positions 28 to 1381 of the family's 1533-position model. The record is from RNAcentral.
GAUGAACGCUGGCGGCGUGCUUAACACAUGCAAGUCGAACGAUGAAGCCCAGCUUGCUGGGUGGAUUAGUGGCGAACGGGUGAGUAACACGUGAGUAACCUGCCCUUAACUCUGGGAUAAGCCUGGGAAACUGGGUCUAAUACCGGAUAGGAGCGUCCACCGCAUGGUGGGUGUUGGAAAGAUUUAUCGGUUUUGGAUGGACUCGCGGCCUAUCAGCUUGUUGGUGAGGUAAUGGCUCACCAAGGCGACGACGGGUAGCCGGCCUGAGAGGGUGACCGGCCACACUGGGACUGAGACACGGCCCAGACUCCUACGGGAGGCAGCAGUGGGGAAUAUUGCACAAUGGGCGCAAGCCUGAUGCAGCGACGCCGCGUGAGGGAUGACGGCCUUCGGGUUGUAAACCUCUUUCAGUAGGGAAGAAGCGAAAGUGACGGUACCUGCAGAAGAAGCACCGGCUAACUACGUGCCAGCAGCCGCGGUAAUACGUAGGGUGCGAGCGUUAUCCGGAAUUAUUGGGCGUAAAGAGCUCGUAGCGGUUUGUCGCGUCUGUCGUGAAAGUCCGGGGCUUAACCCCGGAUCUGCGGUGGGUACGGGCAGACUAGAGUGCAGCAGGGGAGACUGGAAUUCCUGGUGUAGCGGUGGAAUGCGCAGAUAUCAGGAGGAACACCGAUGGCGAAGGCAGGUCUCUGGGCUGUAACUGACGCUGAGGAGCGAAAGCAUGGGGAGCGAACAGGAUUAGAUACCCUGGUAGUCCAUGCCGUAAACGUUGGGCACUAGGUGUGGGGACCAUUCCACGGUUUCCGCGCCGCAGCUAACGCAUUAAGUGCCCCGCCUGGGGAGUACGGCCGCAAGGCUAAAACUCAAAGGAAUUGACGGGGGCCCGCACAAGCGGCGGAGCAUGCGGAUUAAUUCGAUGCAACGCGAAGAACCUUACCAAGGCUUGACAUGUUCUCGAUCGCCGUAGAGAUACGGUUUCCCCUUUGGGGCGGGUUCACAGGUGGUGCAUGGUUGUCGUCAGCUCGUGUCGUGAGAUGUUGGGUUAAGUCCCGCAACGAGCGCAACCCUCGUUCCAUGUUGCCAGCACGUCGUGGUGGGGACUCAUGGGAGACUGCCGGGGUCAACUCGGAGGAAGGUGAGGACGACGUCAAAUCAUCAUGCCCCUUAUGUCUUGGGCUUCACGCAUGCUACAAUGGCCGGUACAAUGGGUUGCGAUACUGUGAGGUGGAGCUAAUCCCAAAAAGCCGGUCUCAGUUCGGAUUGGGGUCUGCAACUCGACCCCAUGAAGUCGGAGUCGCUAGUAAUCGCAGAUCAGCAACGCUGCGGUGAAUACGUUCCCGGGCCU